Molecule: long non-coding RNA, 438 nt
Organism: Oreochromis aureus
Lineage: Eukaryota; Metazoa; Chordata; Actinopteri; Cichliformes; Cichlidae
Source: Ensembl
CCAAUCUCUCCCAAAGGUCGCAGGCGUGAUGAGACUUGAGCUCGGAAAUGUUUGUUAUGCCAUUUGUCAGUAAUGGUUAGAGCGCCACCUAGUGGGACGACUAUAAUAAUGGUUGAAUGAGAUGAAAUUUUAGCUGGUGGUUAAAUGCAUGAAUUCCAUCAAUGUGACAUCAGAUCGGAAGCGCUGGUUUUAGGUGUUGGGCUUGGCUCGACGCGCCGGGGGUGCGAGGGCCCUCAUAUCGCUGCUUGCAGCUUUAAUUAUUAUUAUUAUUAUUAUUCAGGCAAAAGAAGGGCCUUUUUGAGGGCUUUAACAUGCUCGAAAACUCUUGGAAUUUUGCACACAUGCCAGGUCUGGUGAAAAAUUUUGUAUUUUAAUGGUUUUACAUAUGAGCACUGGGAAAUGGCUCUGUAGCGCCACCUAUGCCUUGUUAAAUGCAGC